GAUGAACGCUGGCGGCGUGCCUAAUACAUGCAAGUCGAGCGAACAGAUGAGGAGCUUGCUCUUCUGACUUUAGCGGCGGACGGGUGAGUAACACGUGGAUAACCUACCUAUCAGACUGGGAUAACUUCGGGAAACCGGAGCUAAUACCGGAUAAUAUAUUGAACCGCAUGGUUCAAUAGUGAAAGACGGUUUUGCUUUCACUUAUAGAUGGAUCCGCGCCGCAUUAGCUAGUUGGUAAGGUAACGGCUUACCAAGGCAACGAUGCGUAGCCGACCUGAGAGGGUGAUCGGCCACACUGGAACUGAGACACGGUCCAGACUCCUACGGGAGGCAGCAGUAGGGAAUCUUCCGCAAUGGGCGAAAGCCUGACGGAGCAACGCCGCGUGAGUGAUGAAGGUAUUCGGAUCGUAAAACUCUGUUAUUAGGGAAGAACAAAUGUGAAAGUAACUAUGAACGUCUUGACGGUACCUAAUCAGAAAGCUACGGCUAACUACGUG
This 497-nucleotide ribosomal RNA is filed under the name uncultured bacterium. RNAcentral's name for it is "partial 16S ribosomal RNA". It matches the Rfam family "Bacterial small subunit ribosomal RNA", at positions 28 to 507 of the family's 1533-position model. The record is from RNAcentral.